AGCGAACGCUGGUGGCAGGCCUAACACAUUCAAGUCGAACGAAGUCUUCGGACUUAGUGGCGGACGGGUGAGUAACACGUGGGAACGUGCCUUUAGGUUCGGAAUAACUCAGGGAAACUUGUGCUAAUACCGAAUGUGCCCUUCGGGGGAAAGAUUUAUCGCCUUUAGAGCGGCCCGCGUCUGAUUAGCUAGUUGGUGAGGUAAAGGCUCACCAAGGCGACGAUCAGUAGCUGGUCUGAGAGGAUGAUCAGCCACAUUGGGACUGAGACACGGCCCAAACUCCUACGGGAGGCAGCAGUGGGGAAUCUUGCGCAAUGGGCGAAAGCCUGACGCAGCCAUGCCGCGUGAAUGAUGAAGGUCUUAGGAUUGUAAAAUUCUUUCACCGGGGACGAUAAUGACGGUACCCGGAGAAGAAGCCCCGGCUAACUUCGUGCCAGCCGCCGCGGUAA
RNAcentral lists this ribosomal RNA (449 nucleotides) under uncultured bacterium. RNAcentral's name for it is "partial 16S ribosomal RNA". It matches the Rfam family "Bacterial small subunit ribosomal RNA", at positions 29 to 523 of the family's 1533-position model. The record is from RNAcentral.